GCUGCACCCAAUAAAGAAGUUGUAGUCCGUGUUACGGGCAAGGAUCCAUGCUAUGGUAUUACCAGUUGCGUUUUGUUGUUAUGUGCCAAAACCAUUUUGAAGGAACACAACAAAAUGCCCGGAAAGGGCGGAGUUCUGCCACCAGGAUUUGCAUUUGCCAAGACAAGUCUUCUGGAAGAAGUUGGUAAACAUAAAUCGGGUUUGAAAUUUGAAGUAAU
This is a long non-coding RNA of Musca vetustissima, 218 nucleotides long. RefSeq lists it as uncharacterized. The record is from RefSeq and is a predicted model, not a curated record. NCBI's taxonomy places the organism in Eukaryota, Metazoa, Arthropoda, Insecta, Diptera, Muscidae. The transcript has 2 exons.